CCGGAGAGCCUGUACGGCGGUGUGCUCGCGAACCGGGUCAGGUCCUAACGGAAGCAGCCCUAAGUGUGUCACACCGGGUGUACAGAUCCUCGAAGGC
This 97-nucleotide signal recognition particle RNA is filed under the name Acidimicrobiia bacterium. RNAcentral describes it as "signal recognition particle sRNA small type". It matches the Rfam family "Bacterial small signal recognition particle RNA". Rfam says of the family: The signal recognition particle (SRP) is a universally conserved ribonucleoprotein involved in the co-translational targeting of proteins to membranes. Archaeal SRP consists of a 7S RNA and homologues of the eukaryotic SRP19 and SRP54 proteins. The record is from RNAcentral. Lineage: Bacteria; Bacillati; Actinomycetota; Acidimicrobiia.